GGAUGCGAUCAUACCAGCAUUAAUGCAACGGAUCCCAUCAGAAAUCUGCAGUUAAACGUGUUUGGGCGAGAGUUGUACUACGAUGGUUUACCUCCAGGAAAGUCCUCGUGUUGCAUCCC
Molecule: ribosomal RNA, 119 nt
Filed under: Arabidopsis thaliana (thale cress)
Lineage: Eukaryota; Viridiplantae; Streptophyta; Magnoliopsida; Brassicales; Brassicaceae
Source: RNAcentral